Molecule: ribosomal RNA, 290 nt
Filed under: uncultured prokaryote
Description: partial 16S ribosomal RNA
Rfam family: Archaeal small subunit ribosomal RNA
Source: RNAcentral
CACCGGCGGCUCGAGUGGUAACCGUUAUUAUUGGGUCUAAAGGGUCUGUAGCCGGCCGGAUAAGUCUCUUGAGAAAUCUGGCAGCUUAACUGUCAGGCUUUCAGGAGAUACUGUCUGGCUCGAGGCCGGGAGAGGUGAGAGGUACUUCAGGGGUAGGGGUGAAAUCUUGUAAUCCUUGAAGGACCACCAGUGGCGAAGGCGUCUCACCAGAACGGACCUGACGGCAAGGGACGAAAGCUAGGGGCACGAACCGGAUUAGAUACCCGGGUAGUCCCUGAGCGGGCUGGCAA